AUUUGAACGGUUAGUGCUAGGCUUGGAUUUUUAUUUUUACUUCAAAGUCUUCCGCCGCUGUUUAUCGUUCGUUUUCAUCUCGUUUCUACCGCUUUCUGGAUUGAUUCUUUUCUCACUUCAAAAUCAUUAUAACAGACUUGCAAUUAGCUGCAGAAGCUUUGUUUCGCGAGUGUCGGUUAUAACACUGAGUAUUCUACUUUUUGCCGGCUGACCCACUUCGCGUAUUGGAUUCAGUCUCACUUCAAAAUUAGAUCCUCAAGGCACCCCCACACCGUGCGCAGGAAUUUAAAAGUUCAGGGAAACCUGGGAGCCGAGUAUACGUAUAAUUGCUGUGCCCGCGUUUAUCAGAUUGUCGUCGAUUGUUGAACUCGAAUUAAUGAACGAAUACCCUGAAGGAGUCCAGCCGACCACGGAAUUACUUCGGUAUUCGCUCCGACUUCGAUCUCGGUAUGCAGUCAAAUUAGAAAGUGUGAACUUCCGGUGUUCCGUGGGCGGAUACCUGGGCGUUCGACUACGUACGUCCGGAAAAUAAACAGCAUUGAAUGGAGUAGCCUGGGUGGAAUAACUUCUUA
Molecule: long non-coding RNA, 572 nt
Filed under: Neodiprion lecontei (redheaded pine sawfly)
Lineage: Eukaryota; Metazoa; Arthropoda; Insecta; Hymenoptera; Diprionidae
Description: uncharacterized LOC124295119
Source: RNAcentral